GGGUGAGUAACACGUAUGCAACCUGCCCCUGUCAGGGGGACAACCCGCCGAAAGGCGGGCUAAACCCGCGUACAUGCCACCGGGGCAUCCCGGAGGCAGGAAAGGCUUCGGCCGGACAGGGAUGGGCAUGCGGCGCAUUAGGCAGUAGGCGGGGUAACGGCCCACCUAACCGACGAUGCGUAGGGGUUCUGAGAGGAAGGUCCCCCACACUGGUACUGAGACACGGACCAGACUCCUACGGGAGGCAGCAGUGAGGAAUAUUGGUCAAUGGUCGGGAGACUGAACCAGCCAAGCCGCGUGAGGGAUGAAGGUACAGAGUAUCGUAAACCUCUUUUGUCAGGGAACAAAGGCGGGGACGUGUCCCCGGAUGAGUGUACCUGAAGAAAAAGCAUCGGCUAACUCCGUGCCAGCAGCCGCGGUAAUACGGAGGAUGCGAGCGUUAUCCGGAUUUAUUGGGUUUAAAGGGUGCGCAGGCGGUCUGUUAAGUCAGCGGUCAAAGCCCGGGGCUCAACCCCGGCCCGCCGUUGAAACUGGCAGUCUCGAGUUGGAGAGAAGUAUGCGGAAUGCGCGGUGUAGCGGUGAAAUGCAUAGAUAUCGCGCAGAACUCCGAUUGCGAAGGCAGCAUGCCGGCUCCACACUGACGCUGAGGCACGAAAGCGUGGGUAUCGAACAGGAUUAGAUACCCUGGUAGUCCACGCAGUAAACGAUGAAUGCAGGGUGUCCGGG
This 726-nucleotide ribosomal RNA is filed under the name uncultured bacterium. RNAcentral describes it as "bacterial SSU rRNA". It matches the Rfam family "Bacterial small subunit ribosomal RNA", at positions 104 to 828 of the family's 1533-position model. The record is from RNAcentral.